UCACCCUACGGGACGCAGCAGUGGGGGAUAUUGCACAAUGGGGGAAACCCUGAUGCAGCGACGCCGCGUGGGCGAAGAAGUAUUUCGGUAUGUAAAGCCCUAUCAGCAGGGAAGAAGAAAUGACGGUACCUGAGUAAGAAGCACCGGCUAAAUACGUGCCAGCAGCCGCGGUAAUACGUAUGGUGCAAGCGUUAUCCGGAUUUAUUGGGUUUAAAGGGUGCGUAGGCGGAAUGCCAAGUCAGCGGUAAAAUCGCGGGGCUCAACCUCGCUCCGCCGUUGAAACUGGCGUUCUUGAGUGGGCGAGA
RNAcentral lists this ribosomal RNA (305 nucleotides) under uncultured bacterium. RNAcentral describes it as "bacterial SSU rRNA". It matches the Rfam family "Bacterial small subunit ribosomal RNA", at positions 334 to 655 of the family's 1533-position model. The record is from RNAcentral.